UGGGACUGAGACACGGCCGGUUAACUACGGGAGGCAGCAGUGGGGAAUAUUGCGCAAUGGGGGCAACCCUGACGCAGCAACGCCGCGUGCAGGAAGAAGGUCUUCGGAUUGUAAACUGUUGUCGCAAGGGAAGAAGACAGUGACGGUACCUUGUGAGAAAGUCACGGCUAACUACGUGCCAGCAGCCGCGGUAAUACGUAGGUGACAAGCGUUGUCCGGAUUUACUGGGUGUAAAGGGCGCGUAGGCGGACUGUCAAGUCAGUCGUGAAAUACCGGGGCUUAACCCCGGGGCUGCGAUUGAAACUGACAGCCUUGAGUAUCGGAGAGGAAAGCGGAAUUCCUAGUGUAGCGGUGAAAUGCGUAGAUCUUAGGAGGAACACCAGUGGCGAAGGCGGCUUUCUGGACGACAACUGACGCUGAGGCGCGAAAGUGUGGGGAGCAAACAGGAUUAGAUACCCUGGUAGUCCACACCGUAAACGAUGGAUACUAGGUGUAGGAGGUAUCGACCCCUUCUGUGCCGCAGUUAACACAAUAAGUAUCCCACCUGGGGAGUACGACCGCAAGGUUGAAACUCAAAGGAAUUGACGGGGGCCCGCACAAGCAGUGGAGUAUGUGGUUUAAUUCGAAGCAACGCGAAGAACCUUACCUGGGCUUGACAUCCCUGGAAUCGAGUAGAGAUACUUGAGUGCCUUCGGGAAUCAGGUGACAGGUGGUGCAUGGUUGUCGUCAGCUCGUGUCGUGAGAUGUUGGGUUAAGUCCCGCAACGAGCGCAACCCCUAUUGUCAGUUGCCAUCAUUAAGUUGGGCACUCUGGCGAGACUGCCGGUGACAAAUCGGAGGAAGGUGGGGACGACGUCAAAUCAUCAUGCCCCUUAUGCCCAGGGCUACACACGUACUACAAUGGCCGAUAACAAAGUGCAGCGAAACCGUGAGGUGGAGCGAAUCACAAAACUCGGUCUCAGUUCAGAUUGCAGGCUGCAACUCGCCUGCAUGAAGUUGGAAUUGCUAGUAAUCGCGUAUCAGAAUG
This 1026-nucleotide ribosomal RNA is filed under the name human gut metagenome. Its description in RNAcentral is "bacterial SSU rRNA". It matches the Rfam family "Bacterial small subunit ribosomal RNA", at positions 314 to 1356 of the family's 1533-position model. The record is from RNAcentral.